Molecule: ribosomal RNA, 354 nt
Filed under: uncultured Actinomycetes bacterium
Lineage: Bacteria; Bacillati; Actinomycetota; Actinomycetes
Description: bacterial SSU rRNA
Rfam family: Bacterial small subunit ribosomal RNA
Source: RNAcentral
UCGAGCGAUGAGAUCACUUCGGUGAAGGAUUAGCGGCGAACGGGUGAGGAACACGUGAGGAAUCUGCCUUCAACUCUAGGAUAACUCCGGGAAACCGGGGCUAAUACCGGAUAUGAGCCUUGAUCGCAUGAUCGGGGCUGGAAAGUUUUUCGGUUGAAGAUGACUUCGCGGCCUAUCAGCUUGUUGGUGAGGUAAUGGCUCGCCAAGGCGACGACGGGUAGCCGGCCUGAGAGGGCGACCGGCCACACUGGGACUGAGACACGGCCCAGACUCCUACGGGAGGCAGCAGUGGGGAAUAUUGGGCAAUGGACGAAAGUCUGACCCAGCGACGCCGCGUGCGGGAUGAAGGCCUUC